This 468-nucleotide ribosomal RNA is filed under the name uncultured bacterium. RNAcentral's name for it is "partial 16S ribosomal RNA". It matches the Rfam family "Bacterial small subunit ribosomal RNA", at positions 28 to 507 of the family's 1533-position model. The record is from RNAcentral.
GACGAACGCUGGCGGCGUGCUUAACACAUGCAAGUCGAACGGAAAGGCCCUGCUUUUGUGGGGUGCUCGAGUGGCGAACGGGUGAGUAACACGUGAGUAACCUGCCCUUGACUUUGGGAUAACUUCAGGAAACUGGGGCUAAUACCGGAUAGGAGCUCCUGCUGCAUGGUGGGGGUUGGAAAGUUUCGGCGGUUGGGGAUGGACUCGCGGCUUAUCAGCUUGUUGGUGGGGUAGUGGCUUACCAAGGCUUUGACGGGUAGCCGGCCUGAGAGGGUUACCGGCCACAAUGCGACUGAGAGACGGACCAGUAUCCUAUGGGACGCAGCAGUGGGGAAUAUUGCACAAUGGGCGGAAGCCUGAUGCAGCAACGCCGCGUGCGGGAUGACGGCCUUCGGGUUGUAAACCGCUUUCGCCGGUGACGAAGCGUGAGUGACGGUAAUGGGUAAAGAAGCACCGGCUAACUACGUG